This is a long non-coding RNA of Phacochoerus africanus (Common warthog), 2495 nucleotides long. RefSeq lists it as uncharacterized. NCBI's taxonomy places the organism in Eukaryota, Metazoa, Chordata, Mammalia, Artiodactyla, Suidae. The record is from RefSeq and is a predicted model, not a curated record. The transcript has 3 exons.
CACCUCAGCAGUGACAACAAGGAUCCUUUAAUCACCAGGCCACCAGAGAAUUUCUAAAAUUAAUUUCUAAAAUUAAUGUCUAUUUGUCUGUCACUGGUGCUUUUAAUCUAGUUAAAUAACCUUUAUUUUGGGGUUGAUAGAUCCAAUUUCACACUUAAAGCAGUGAUUUUCACAUGGGAUGUGGAGUUGAGUGGGAGAAUCAGAGGCUCUUCUCAAUUAUACUCAGGUGAAUUUCCCAAGAGAUUUUUUUUUUGGUUGUUGUUCUAGUUCCCCACCUCCCUUCUGCUGCCCCCGAAGUGUCUGUCUCGGUAAACAUCCUUCCCUAUCCUACCUGAGAAUCAAUGCUUAUACAGAGCUUCAACUAGUGGGAGUAGGUCUGUCCCACUCCAGUAGGAUAAAUAUUGAGAAGCACUAUUAUAUAAAAAAAUUGUUUGAACCACUACAAUGAAGAAACACAGUGUGUUCGUUAUACUUUCUAAAUGAACAAUAAUGCAUAACUGCUUUAGAAAGAGAAACACACUUCUAACAGGGUCAUUUUGAUGCUCUGAUAACCAAUCUCCCUUAGCUAGACCUCAGAUUCAUAAAAUCAUCAGUCCUGAAACUGAAGGGAGGGAGCAGUCCUUACUAUGAAGGGAGGGAGCAGUCCUUACUAUGAAGGGAGUCCUGAUUAUGAAACUAUAGGGAGGCAGUGGUCAUUCACCAUCAUCUAUCAGAUUGCCUUUAUUCGGAUGAUAACCUCAGAGAAGCUAAGCCAUUUUCUGAUGGCCAUGCAAUCAGCUAGGAGUACAGCUAGAAAGAAAAUCCAGAUCUCACUCCUGGUUAAGAACUCUUUCUCUUAGAGCAUUAUCUUUUGUUCCUAGAACAGUCCUUCUCAGUAUGUUAUCACUGUUGUCCUUCCAAAGGAAAAAAGUUAAAUUUAACAAGAGGAAACAAUUACUAAGGAAUAAAAUGUUGUUGGGUAGGCUCGGGCUUUGUGGGGCCAAAACCCACUGUACUAAGUGAUUUUGCUCCUCAAGGAGCAGAAUUGCCCAGUUGGGGCCAUAUGCUUACCAUUGAGAAGGUAAAGCCCUAAAGUGAAUUGCUCUUAUACAGCAUAUUUUGACAAACAUUUGUUUAAUGAAUUGGAUGAUGAAUGAUUUCAAAAGUUAUAAUGAUACUGCAAAUACAUUUUCUUGAUUAGAAUCAUAAAAUACCUGUGAUAUCUGAUGUAGAGAGAUACCAAUUUAUGGCUCCACUGCUAACUAGUUGGGUGAUCUCAGACAAGUUUUCUUAUCCCAGGGGAAUCUGCUCCUAUGUAACAUCUGAGAAUGUCCCUCCUAGGGUGUUUUCCCAACUGCAUCAAAGCUCCUGACCUAAAAGUCCUCUCCCGGCUUUAACAUUCUGAGCCUGUUUUUUGGUUUGUUUGAAUUCCUAAAAAUCUUAAAGGCUAAUAACAUGAUCACAAUCAGAAUCAUGCCAACUUCCGACUCUGCGUGCAUGUUGUCAGUGACUGACAUGUAGGAGCUUGAAUUAAACUCAACAACUUAAAUGUUUAACGUCCUCUGCUUUCCUAAAUAUUUUGCGAGGAGCUCUGCUAACGAGGUACACAACUAUGUUCUAGUAAUUUUUAUUCUGCUAGACUACUCAGCAGAAGUGAUUUUACAGAGCAGUAAAAUGUCCAAAGUCUAAGUGAGGAGCAGCUUUUGAUGAGGAACAGUAAAGACUGGAUAACCAGGCCCUGGAAAACCUGAAACGAUCCCAACCUGUAGUAAUGAAACACCUGCUACGUGAGGCAAGGGCUCAUUCAGCAUUAGUAAGAGCAUGUUGAUUGUAUGUGCGUUAAAUAACCAGAGAAGAUUAAAUGAAGAUUUACCUAGAGAAGAUUACCUAGAAGCUAUUUUCAAUGAUUAGAAGCAUUAUCUCUGACUGCUCCACUGGACUGUAAAGUGAUCAGCACUCCUGAGGUGGUGUUUUGCUGUUGUCAGUGUGAAUAUGCCAUGGAUUGCCUUGCCCAGAAUAUUUUAGCCAAAGAAUUGAUUUAAUCAGAAGUGAGAAAAUACAGAGAAAAAGGAAAAGAGUCAAGCAAGACAAAAUAAUAAUUAAGCCAUUCAACAAAGUCAAGGACCUUUCGUUCUUUCUCAAGGACUAUAGACAAUAUUCUGAGCCAUGUCCUUGGAGCUGUUUUGUAGGUGCUGAAGACCCCACUGGGUGGAAGAAGUUAACUAUUUGCUGACCACAAGCAUGUAGACCCCAGAUGAGUUGGAACCACAAGGUUGAUGAUGAUGACUCCGAAAUUACCUCACCACCAACCAGCAGACCACAUGCUGCUCCUUGAACACUGUAAAACUCCUCACUGUGCCUGGGUGGGGCAUGCCACAGUCUUGAGGCAUUAGCCUACUGUUUCCCUCUUUGCCUGGCAAUUAAAGCUACUCUUUGUUUCCUCCAACUGUCCCAUGUUUCUCUUCAGCUUCAGUGUACAAAGGAUGUUGUAUUUUGGAUAAAAAUCCUUUAUCAAA